RNAcentral lists this ribosomal RNA (210 nucleotides) under uncultured Geobacillus sp. Its description in RNAcentral is "partial 16S ribosomal RNA". It matches the Rfam family "Bacterial small subunit ribosomal RNA", at positions 1173 to 1382 of the family's 1533-position model. The record is from RNAcentral. Lineage: Bacteria; Bacillati; Bacillota; Bacilli; Caryophanales; Anoxybacillaceae.
GUGGGGAUGACGUCAAGUCCUCAUGGCCUUUAUGACCUGGGCUACACACGUGCUACAAUGGGCGGUACAAAGGGCUGCGAACCCGCGAGGGGGAGCGAAUCCCAAAAAGCCGCUCUCAGUUCGGAUUGCAGGCUGCAACUCGCCUGCAUGAAGCCGGAAUCGCUAGUAAUCGCGGAUCAGCAUGCCGCGGUGAAUACGUUCCCGGGCCUU